AGUAACGCGUAGGUAACCUGCCUUGUAGCGGGGGAUAACUAUUGGAAACGAUAGCUAAUACCGCAUAACAAUGGAUGACCCAUGUCAUUUAUUUGAAAGGGGCAAAUGCUCCACUACAAGAUGGACCUGCGUUGUAUUAGCUAGUAGGUGAGGUAACGGCUCACCUAGGCGACGAUACGUAGCCGACCUGAGAGGGUGAUCGGCCACACUGGGACUGAGACACGGCCCAG
This 230-nucleotide ribosomal RNA is filed under the name uncultured bacterium. RNAcentral's name for it is "partial 16S ribosomal RNA". It matches the Rfam family "Bacterial small subunit ribosomal RNA", at positions 109 to 334 of the family's 1533-position model. The record is from RNAcentral.